This 409-nucleotide long non-coding RNA is filed under the name Mytilus galloprovincialis (Mediterranean mussel). The record is from RNAcentral. Lineage: Eukaryota; Metazoa; Mollusca; Bivalvia; Mytilida; Mytilidae.
CUUUGGUCAUUAUGUUGUGGCAAAAACAUGAAUUUAGAUAUAUUAGAAAAAAAUUAUAACAUAAUUUAAAUUAUAUUGAACAGUUGAACGGACUUCAAUAACCAAGUGAUUUACCACCAACGUUAACAGACCGCAAAAACAGACUAACAAACAGAGUGAGAAUAAAAUGAACGGUCCUUGGUACGGAUACCUUAACUUUGUAGCGACACAUCUGCACAAACGUGUUUGCUUUCUUAUGCAUGCCAUAUUUUUUAAUAGUCAAACACACAAAUUACCUUCUACGUCCAGCUACCAACAGGAUGACUACUAGCUUGUACAGGGAAUUAACAGAGAUAAAGCCACGUCAAAAUGUCGCCGCAGGGAGGUAGUUAAUGUAAUUACAGAUGGUAGAUGAAAACUGCUGACAAAG